GAGAUGGGGCGAGGCGAGGUGGGGUGGGGUGUGGUGGGGCGAGGGUGGACGAGGCGGGGCGUGGUGGGCCAAGGCGGGGCGAGGCAGGGCGAGGCGAGGCUUGGUAGGCGAGACGGGUCAGGGCGGUGCGAGGGGAAGCGAGGUGGGGAAAGACGGGGUGAGACGAGGCAGGGCAAGGCGAGACAGGGCGAGGUUGGUCGAGGCGGGGCGGGGCAAGAGGAAGUGAGGCGGGGCGAGGUGAGGCAGGGCAAGGCGAGACAGGGCAAGGUUGGACAAGGCGGGGCGGGGCAAGGCGAGGCGGCGCAAGGCUAGGCGUGGCGGGGUGAGGCCAGGCAAGGCGGGGCGAGGCGAGUUGUGACAGGCGAAGUGUGGUUGGGUGAGGGGAAUCGAGGUGGAACGAGGUGAAGUGAGGAGGGGCAAGGCGAGGCGGGGUGGGGCGUGGCGAGGCGAGGCGAGGCAAGGCGAGGCGUGGCAGGCGAGG
This 481-nucleotide long non-coding RNA is filed under the name Gallus gallus (chicken). Its description in RNAcentral is "lncRNA (ENSGALG00010000744.1)". The record is from RNAcentral. Lineage: Eukaryota; Metazoa; Chordata; Aves; Galliformes; Phasianidae.